GCUGAACUUAAGCAUAUCAAUAAGCGGAGGAAAAGAAACUAACAAGGAUUCCCCUAGUAACUGCGAGUGAAGCGGGAAAAGCUCAAAUUUAAAAUCUGGCAGGCUUUUUGACUGUCCGAGUUGUAAUCUAGAGAAGUGCUUUCCGCGYUGGACCGUGUACAAGUCU
RNAcentral lists this ribosomal RNA (166 nucleotides) under Hygrophorus discoxanthus. RNAcentral's name for it is "partial 28S ribosomal RNA". It matches the Rfam family "Eukaryotic large subunit ribosomal RNA", at positions 27 to 188 of the family's 3401-position model. The record is from RNAcentral. Lineage: Eukaryota; Fungi; Basidiomycota; Agaricomycetes; Agaricales; Hygrophoraceae.